Molecule: ribosomal RNA, 254 nt
Filed under: uncultured bacterium
Lineage: Bacteria
Description: partial 16S ribosomal RNA
Rfam family: Bacterial small subunit ribosomal RNA
Source: RNAcentral
UACGGUGGGAGCAAGCGUUGUUCGGAUUUACUGGGCGUAAAGGGCGCGUAGGCGGUCGUGACAAGUCACUCGUGAAAUCUCCGGGCUUAACUCGGAACGGUCAAGUGAUACUGUCGGACUAGAGUACAGAAGGGGCAACUGGAAUUCUCGGUGUAGCGGUGAAAUGCGUAGAUAUCGAGAGGAACACCUGCGGCGAAGGCGGGUUGCUGGGCUGAUACUGACGCUGAGGCGCGAAAGCCAGGGGAGCGAACGGG